AUUGUCACGCACAUCUCUAGCGGUGCAAGGUAUUAACCCCCUGUUUUCAUUAUUUUGUUUUUUGCAAAACCAACUUCUAUCUCAGUCUUUUAGGACUUCUUACUGGAUGUUGAUUAUUUUUUAUUGUUGUUUUCUUCAGCUUUUACAUGAUCUAUGGGUGCAGGUAUGACUCACCGCAAAGACCGAACAAGGUUUAAGGAGUGCAAUUUGAACACAAUUAUGCAGCAAGCUGAGAGCUUCAAGGAAGUGUUUGUUGAGCUUUGGAGAAACCUUAACCAAACCCAAUUGAUGAGUUUUGCCAUGACAGCUUGGAGUAUAUGGCAAAAACGCAACCUACAGUUNNCUUUCUUUUUUCAUUACCUCCAUUAAAAUGAUAAUGAAAACAAAUGUUAUAUUGUCAAUAACUUAGCAAAAGUCAACAACCAAAUAAGAAAAAUAUUUUUAUAUGGCAUAAGAUAUGCCAAGCAAAAAAAAGUACAAAAGCGGCUAAAUCAAAACAGAGCAGACUCCAAAAAUUCAGAAAACACCUAUCACUUGAUACAAAAUUCAUGA
Molecule: long non-coding RNA, 552 nt
Filed under: Trifolium pratense (red clover)
Lineage: Eukaryota; Viridiplantae; Streptophyta; Magnoliopsida; Fabales; Fabaceae
Description: long non-coding RNA (TPRA_LNC001008)
Source: RNAcentral